This 328-nucleotide long non-coding RNA is filed under the name Mytilus galloprovincialis (Mediterranean mussel). The record is from RNAcentral. Lineage: Eukaryota; Metazoa; Mollusca; Bivalvia; Mytilida; Mytilidae.
AAUCAUAAGACGGAAGACCGUGGGCUCGAAGGGUGAAACUUGACUCUGAGUCUCUGCAUAUAAUGCCACCAAAAUUAGGGAGAGGGAAAGGAAGAGGAAGAGGAAGGGGUAUGAGUCUAGCAGGAAAGUACAAGACCAAAAGAAAAAUAGAUAUAGAAGUGGAAAGUUCGGAAUCGGAUACCCAUAGCACAGAGAAAAAGAGACAAAGAACUGGAAGUCCGAUCGAAACUGAACAAGAAAUCCAUAAACAGGACCAAGAGCCCCAAAAGACGGAACAACAAGCGUCGACGCCUCCCCUAACUGAUAGCAUACAAUCUGAUUCUUCUUC